AUUUGUCAAAACCCCACAGAUCUGUACAAUACAAAAAAAGAGAACCUUAAUAUAGACUAUAGUUAAUAAUAAUGUAUCAAUAUUGGUUUGUUAAUUAAAACAAGUGUCAUUGGUACAUAGUGCCAAACUGUGCUCCAUAGGUUCAAAGGGCCCUGCUUCAUGUACUCUUUCCUUUGUGGUCUUUGUGUCAUCAACCAAGUUGUUAGGGUUGAUUUGCAAGGUAGCUGGUCCCCUGGUUCUUUCCUCUCCACGUGAGCCUCCACAGAACUGCUUGCGUGUCCUCACAACACAGUGGUUGGUUUCCCCCAGAUCCAGUGAUCCAAAAGACCAACAUGGAAGCUGCAGUGCCUUUUAUGACCUAGUUUGGAAGUCACACAUUGUCACUUGCAUCAUACUCUACUAGUAACAGAUCAGCCCUGAUUCACUGUGGGAGGAGACUACACAAGGGCAUGAAUACCUAGGAGGGCAUACAUGAAGUAACCAAUGGAAUCCUCUAGGGGGUAUUUAAACUCCCAAAAAUUCUGUAACGGGGCCCUUGAGCCCCUAUGCUUGGGUCCAUUCCCAAACUGUGGAGUGUACUUUCAUUUUCAAUAAAUUUCUGCUUUUGUUGCUUCAUUCUUUCCUUGCUUUGUUUGAGCGUUUUGUCCAAUUAUUUGUUCAAGACGCCAAGAACCUGG
This 677-nucleotide long non-coding RNA is filed under the name Homo sapiens (human). RNAcentral's name for it is "HSALNT0263370". The record is from RNAcentral. Lineage: Eukaryota; Metazoa; Chordata; Mammalia; Primates; Hominidae.